RNAcentral lists this ribosomal RNA (935 nucleotides) under Acinetobacter schindleri. RNAcentral's name for it is "bacterial SSU rRNA". It matches the Rfam family "Bacterial small subunit ribosomal RNA", at positions 53 to 988 of the family's 1533-position model. The record is from RNAcentral. Lineage: Bacteria; Pseudomonadati; Pseudomonadota; Gammaproteobacteria; Moraxellales; Moraxellaceae.
CCAUGCAGUCGAGCGGGGAAUGUGCUUCGCUAACUGACCUAGCGGCGGACGGGUGAGUAAUGCUUAGGAAUCUGCCUAUUAGUGGGGGACAACAUUCCGAAAGGAAUGCUAAUACCGCAUACGCCCUACGGGGGAAAGCAGGGGAUCUUCGGACCUUGCGCUAAUAGAUGAGCCUAAGUCGGAUUAGCUAGUUGGUGGGGUAAAGGCCUACCAAGGCGACGAUCUGUAGCGGGUCUGAGAGGAUGAUCCGCCACACUGGGACUGAGACACGGCCCAGACUCCUACGGGAGGCAGCAGUGGGGAAUAUUGGACAAUGGGCGCAAGCCUGAUCCAGCCAUGCCGCGUGUGUGAAGAAGGCCUUUUGGUUGUAAAGCACUUUAAGCGAGGAGGAGGCUCCUUUAGUUAAUACCUAAAGUGAGUGGACGUUACUCGCAGAAUAAGCACCGGCUAACUCUGUGCCAGCAGCCGCGGUAAUACAGAGGGUGCGAGCGUUAAUCGGAUUUACUGGGCGUAAAGCGUGCGUAGGCGGCUUUUUAAGUCGGAUGUGAAAUCCCUGAGCUUAACUUAGGAAUUGCAUUCGAUACUGGAGAGCUAGAGUAUGGGAGAGGAUGGUAGAAUUCCAGGUGUAGCGGUGAAAUGCGUAGAGAUCUGGAGGAAUACCGAUGGCGAAGGCAGCCAUCUGGCCUAAUACUGACGCUGAGGUACGAAAGCAUGGGGAGCAAACAGGAUUAGAUACCCUGGUAGUCCAUGCCGUAAACGAUGUCUACUAGCCGUUGGGGCCUUUGAGGCUUUAGUGGCGCAGCUAACGCGAUAAGUAGACCGCCUGGGGAGUACGGUCGCAAGACUAAAACUCAAAUGAAUUGACGGGGGCCCGCACAGCGGUGGAGCAUGUGGUUUAAUUCGAUGCAACGCGAGAUCUUACCUGCCUUGACAUA